RNAcentral lists this ribosomal RNA (253 nucleotides) under uncultured bacterium. Its description in RNAcentral is "partial 16S ribosomal RNA". It matches the Rfam family "Bacterial small subunit ribosomal RNA", at positions 524 to 776 of the family's 1533-position model. The record is from RNAcentral.
CACGUAGGGCGCAAGCGUUGUCCGGAAUUAUUGGGCGUAAAGAGCUCGUAGGCGGUCUGUUGCGUCCGCUGUGAAAACUCAGGGCUUAACCCUGAGCCUGCUUCCGAUACGGGCAGACUAGAGGUAUGCAGGGGAGAAUGGAAUUCCCGGUGUAGCGGUGAAAUGCGCAGAUAUCGGGAGGAACACCAGCAGCGAAGGCGGCACUCUGGGCCGGUACUGACGCUGAGGAGCGAAAGCGUGGGGAGCGAACAGG